UGCGGGGUCGUCUAAUGGUAGGACGCCUGACUCUGGAUCAGGAAGUUGGGGUUCGAAUCCCUGCCCCGCAGCCU
Molecule: transfer RNA, 74 nt
Filed under: Actinomycetes bacterium
Lineage: Bacteria; Bacillati; Actinomycetota; Actinomycetes
Description: Actinobacteria bacterium tRNA-Gln
Rfam family: tRNA
About the family: Transfer RNA (tRNA) molecules are approximately 80 nucleotides in length. Their secondary structure includes four short double-helical elements and three loops (D, anti-codon, and T loops).
Source: RNAcentral